GGCGGGCUGCCCGGUGCGUCAGGAACACGUUUCCCUGGGGCCUAUACCGAUCCUUAUGGGAGCUGUCCCUGGUUGGAGCCGUGGCUUCUUCCAAACGGCACCCACCUACGUUGAGUAGGAACCCGGGAUCGAAAUUCCGACGGCCAGGGCGGCUUUGCC
This 159-nucleotide non-coding RNA is filed under the name Kaustia mangrovi. Its description in RNAcentral is "6S / SsrS RNA". It matches the Rfam family "6S / SsrS RNA". From Rfam's summary of the family: E. coli 6S RNA was the first non coding RNA to be sequenced, but its function was unknown until recently. It consists of 184 nucleotides that fold into an extended hairpin structure with a large single-stranded internal bulge. The record is from Rfam by way of RNAcentral. Lineage: Bacteria; Pseudomonadati; Pseudomonadota; Alphaproteobacteria; Hyphomicrobiales; Parvibaculaceae.